This 578-nucleotide ribosomal RNA is filed under the name uncultured bacterium. RNAcentral's name for it is "bacterial SSU rRNA". It matches the Rfam family "Bacterial small subunit ribosomal RNA", at positions 28 to 638 of the family's 1533-position model. The record is from RNAcentral.
AAUCAACGCUGGCGGCGUGCCUAACACAUGCAAGUCGAACGAGAAAGGGUAGCAAUACCUGAGUAAAGUGGCGCACGGGUGAGUAACACGUGACUAACCUACCCUGGAGUGGGGGAUAACUGAGGGAAACCUUAGCUAAUACCGCAUAACACCUACGGGUCAAAGGAGCAAUUCGCUUUAGGAGGGGGUCGCGGUCGAUUAGUUAGUUGGCGGGGUAAUGGCCCACCAAGACUGUGAUCGAUAUCCGGCCUGAGAGGGCGCACGGACACACUGGAACUGAAACACGGUCCAGACUCCUACGGGAGGCAGCAGUGGGGAAUUUUGCGCAAUGGGGGAAACCCUGACGCAGCAACGCCGCGUGGAGGAUGAAGUACUUCGGUACGUAAACUCCUUUCGAUCGGGACGAUAAUGACGGUACCGGAAGAAGAAGCCCCGGCUAACUUCGUGCCAGCAGCCGCGGUAAUACGAGGGGGGCAAGCGUUGUUCGGAAUUAUUGGGCGUAAAGGGUGCGUAGGCGGUUUGGUAAGUCUUGUGUGAAAUCUCCAGGCUCAACUUGGAGACUGCACGAGAAACUGCCG